RNAcentral lists this ribosomal RNA (368 nucleotides) under Dysidea cf. granulosa-Double Reef. Its description in RNAcentral is "eukaryotic LSU rRNA". It matches the Rfam family "Eukaryotic large subunit ribosomal RNA", at positions 1 to 361 of the family's 3401-position model. The record is from RNAcentral. Lineage: Eukaryota; Metazoa; Porifera; Demospongiae; Dictyoceratida; Dysideidae.
CUGGACCUCGGAUCAGGCCAGGCUACCCGCUGAAUUUAAGCAUAUUAAUAAGCGGAGGAAAAGAAACUAACAAGGAUUCCCCCAGUAACGGCGAGCGAAGCGGGAAUAGCUCAAAUUUGAAAUCUCCGGUGCCUGCACCGGCGAAUUGUAGUCUGUAGGGCCAGUUUCGCCCGAGACGGUUUCCCCAAAGUCGUCCUGGAAAGGCGGGCCAGAGAGGGUGAGAGCCCCGUGCGUGGGGGCACCGUCGGAGGUAAGAUCUGUGCCCGAAGAGUCGGGUUGUUUGGGAUUGCAGCCCAAAAUGGGUGGUAAACUCCAUCUAAAGCUAAAUACCGGCACGAGACCGAUAGCGAACAAGUACCGUGAGGGAA